RNAcentral lists this ribosomal RNA (253 nucleotides) under uncultured bacterium. Its description in RNAcentral is "partial 16S ribosomal RNA". It matches the Rfam family "Bacterial small subunit ribosomal RNA", at positions 524 to 776 of the family's 1533-position model. The record is from RNAcentral.
UACAGAGGUCUCAAGCGUUGUCCGGAAUCAUUGGGCGUAAAGAGCGUGUAGGCGGUCCGGUAAGUCCGCUGUGAAAGUCGGGGGCUCAACCCUCGAAUGCCGGUGGAUACUGUCGGGCUAGAGUGCGGAAGAGGCGAGUGGAAUUCCUGGUGUAGCGGUGAAAUGCGCAGAUAUCAGGAGGAACACCGAUUGCGAAGGCAGCUCGCUGGGACGUAACUGACGCUGAGACGCGAAAGCGUGGGGAGCGAACAGG